AUGGAGAGAGAAUCCCACCAAAUUAAACGGCGUAGCAAAGCGCGCCUAACCCUUCUAGUUGAUUACUACAACACAAACUUCACUAAUGGUGCUGAUACCUUCCGACUUUGCCUGACCUACGAUGAGUUUGUGAAGAGGUGUUCUGACCUUGAGAAGGUCACUCUGAGCGAUAUAUUCGCCCUUCAGCUUAUGCAGGUGCCAGAAGUGACGGAAGAAGCUGCUCUUGCUGUCACGAGUCUCUACCCCACUCUUCUCUCGCUUCCUAAGGCAUACACCAUGCUUGAUGACGAUAGGCGUGCCCAGGAGGAGAUGCUGAAGAACAAGAGCGUCAUGGUCAACGUGGGGGCUAGCAAGAAAAUCAUCAAGCUCAUCUGGGCGGAAGGAUGA
RNAcentral lists this ribosomal RNA (387 nucleotides) under Triticum aestivum (bread wheat). Its description in RNAcentral is "partial small subunit ribosomal RNA". The record is from RNAcentral. Lineage: Eukaryota; Viridiplantae; Streptophyta; Magnoliopsida; Poales; Poaceae.